GGCGCACGGGUGAGUAACGCGUGGGAAUCUGCCCAGCAGUGGGGGAUAACCUCUGGAAACGGAGGCUAAUACCGCAUACGCCCCUCGGGGGAAAGGCUUGCUGCUGCUGGAGGAGCCCGCGUCGGAUUAGGUAGUUGGUAGGGUAACGGCCUACCAAGGCGACGAUCAGUAGGGGGCGUGAGAGCGUGACCCCCCACACGGGUACUGAGACACGGACCCGACUCCUACGGGAGGCAGCAGUAAGGAAUAUUGGGCAAUGGAGGCAACUCUGACCCAGCCAUCCCGCGUGAAGGAUUAAGGCCCUAUGGGUUGUAAACUUCUUUUGCUUGGGAAGAAAUCAGGACAUUUAUGUGCUGUUGACGGUACCUUGCGAAUAAGCACCGGCUAACUCCGUGCCAGCAGCCGCGGUAAUACGGAGGGUGCAAGCGUUAUCCGGAAUCACUGGGUUUAAAGGGUGCGUAGGCGGUUCGAUAAGUCAGAGGUGAAAGCUAGCAGCUUAACUGUUAAAUUGCCUUUGAUACUGUUGGACUUGAAUCAGGUUGAGGUAGGCGGAAUGUGACAUGUAGCGGUGAAAUGCAUAGAUAUGUCAUAGAACACCAAUUGCGUAGGCAGCUUGCUGGGCUUGAAUUGACGCUGAGGCACGAAAGCGUGGGGAUCAAACAGGAUUAGAUACCCUGGUAGUCCAC
RNAcentral lists this ribosomal RNA (686 nucleotides) under uncultured Saprospiraceae bacterium. RNAcentral's name for it is "bacterial SSU rRNA". It matches the Rfam family "Bacterial small subunit ribosomal RNA", at positions 97 to 798 of the family's 1533-position model. The record is from RNAcentral. Lineage: Bacteria; Pseudomonadati; Bacteroidota; Saprospiria; Saprospirales; Saprospiraceae.